UGCAUAAGCUAUUUAUGCUUUGUGACCAGUUAAGAAUUGGAAUAUCAUCAAUUUUCUUAAAAGGGGUGGUGACCAGCGAGUUCAAGUGGUCUGAAUUAGGGAUGGAUCUAAGAAGGAAAAUGAUCUCAGGACCAUGUGAAUUGCAAGAAGAGUGAAGAGUGGAAUGGUAAAUAUGAAGAAAAGCCAAGUAAACAUAUUUAUAUAAAAUAGAAGUAGUAUAUGUGAUUGAAGAUAAGAGGACAUAACUGACUCCAAGACAGCUGGGAUUUAGGACACAGAGUACUACCAAGGAGCCCUGAGAACCUGUGUAAGAAAAUCUUUUUUCAUUUUUUAUUUUUCUUUCUGGGCCAGGUCCUAAGUUGUGUAUGCAGAGGGUGGCACUCCCGAAGGCCCAGCAGAGAACAAACUCUGGAAGGCUGUAGACACGGGCAGGGAUUUCAGAGGAUACCCAGGGCAGGAAGGCAAUGGCAUUCAGACCCAGUGAGAGUGGAGAGUCGUGGUGGGUGACUGUGAUUCCCACUAAGACCCUGGAAAGGCCAUGCACUAGCAAUGAUGACCACAUGCUGGGGCUCCCUAAGAGGGAGGGCAAGGCUGAAAUAGACCCUAGCAAGUCCUACAUUCAACCCUCCCAGAAUAAAACCCAAUACAUUUCCAAGAAAUAACAUAAUGCAGAGCCUCAAGCCUAUAUUGUCCACAAUGCUUCACAUCAACCCUUUCUAAUCUUUCAUGUAGGAUAUUUAGAAGUCUCCUAAUCAUUCAUGCCACCCAAAAAUCUAUCUCCUUUCUGAUCCAUACUACUACCAGUGUUCCUCUACCAAAAUAUCAGUUUCAUCAUGUUGUUUCACUUGGAGUAGGACCAAUGGCUCACCACUGCCUAGAGAUUUGUGUCCAAAGUCCUUUCAGGUCUCCCAAUAUCCCCAGUCAUCUGGCUAUUGCCUGCUCUUGAGGACAGUUCAAGAUGAUAUUCAUCAGAAUUGGGAGAGACACUUGCUGGUCACCCUUCUUGAAGAGAAGGAGCCCACAACGCACAAGGCUACCUCCACCGGCAUCUCCUCAACACUUUCCAGUUUACCUAUUGCCAUGGAAUUUCAUGCCUCUCCAAAUAUUUUUCUGUUGAAUAAAGUACUCACUGAUCAUCAGAAUUGUCUCUUGAUCUUGGAAAUAUUUCCUUCCCCCUCCUUUAUGCUUGUGCUCAUCAACCAUUUUCAGCAAUCGUGUUUUUUUCAUAAUGUUAUAUAAAAUACGUACCAAUAUGUGCCACACA
This 1264-nucleotide long non-coding RNA is filed under the name Homo sapiens (human). Its description in RNAcentral is "HSALNT0130001". The record is from RNAcentral. Lineage: Eukaryota; Metazoa; Chordata; Mammalia; Primates; Hominidae.